This 460-nucleotide ribosomal RNA is filed under the name uncultured bacterium. RNAcentral describes it as "partial 16S ribosomal RNA". It matches the Rfam family "Bacterial small subunit ribosomal RNA", at positions 338 to 795 of the family's 1533-position model. The record is from RNAcentral.
CCUACGGGCGGCAGCAGUGAGGAAUAUUGGUCAAUGGACGAGAGUCUGAACCAGCCAAGUAGCGUGAAGGAUGACUGCCCUAUGGGUUGUAAACUUCUUUUAUAUGGGAAUAAAAUGUUCCACGUGUGGGAUUUUGUAUGUACCAUAUGAAUAAGGAUCGGCUAACUCCGUGCCAGCAGCCGCGGUAAUACGGAGGAUCCGAGCGUUAUCCGGAUUUAUUGGGUUUAAAGGGAGCGUAGGUGGAUUGUUAAGUCAGUUGUGAAAGUUUGCGGCUCAACCGUAAAAUUGCAGUUGAAACUGGCAGUCUUGAGUACAGUAGAGGUGGGCGGAAUUCGUGGUGUAGCGGUGAAAUGCUUAGAUAUCACGAAGAACUACGAUUGCGAAGGCAGUUCACUGGACUGCAACUGACACUGAGGCUCGAAAGUGUGGGUAUCAAACAGGAUUAGAUACCCGGGUAGUC